GCCGGCGUCGGGACGUGGCCGUGCUGCAUGCUGGGAGGCGUAGUCUCUGCCGCACGGACCUUCGGGUGAGGUCGCGCCGUCGUCUUCCCUUCGUAUGGUUGCCAAAGCUGUGUUUUUCUGAAUUCUGAGACUGGACAAGGAACCUUCCACUGCAUGAAUACCAAGAAAGGGACAAACUGCACCCAUUCCAAAGGGGUUGAGUGGACCACCCAAGAUUCCCAGAGAAAACAGGGACUCCAGGAUUCUCAAUCCUCUUUCUGGGCACUGUCAGUUGAAAUGGAAACUUUGGAAAGAGAAAUUGAUGACAGGAGAGAAAUGGCUCGAAGGCGCCCUGUGGGGCUCUGUGGCUUAAUCAUAAUCAUGAAGAUCAGUUAUGUGAGCACUGUCUCUGAUGUACAAAGUCUUGGUCCUGGGGCAAGCGGAGGAGGUCUCCCUAAAAUAAUCACAACUCUGAAGCGAAACGCCACCAUCAGAAUUGGGGAUGGAGUAUUUAUUUUGUACUCUGCCAUGCGUGGAACCAAGAUGAGAUGCCAUUCCAGCUACUCUGACUCUGUGUUUAGGCACUUAUUUAAAACAUAACCACAGGCCAGUGUGCCUUUAUUGAAGCACAUGGAUAUCAUUACUGCACUUGCAUUUGGGUUGGAAGGAAAUACAGCAGUUAACCACCUGAAAUCUCAGUAGACAAAAGGAGAACACCAUAAAGUUUUACCACUGCGAGACAAAAGAUUGCAAAAUGUAAGUUCCAUUAAAGAAGUUAGGAAAUUAUGUUAUGUUACAUACUUGAAUAGUUCUGUCACAGAGUGAUUAGUAGAGCUUAGUUAUUACCUGUGACUAAAAGAUUCCAUUUCCACAAAGAAAUGGAGUUAAGAAUUGGAAAAACGUCAGUUGUUAUGUCUUUGAUCCCAAUCCCAUUGUAUUCAGACAAUGCAAACAGAAUUUCUCAAAAGCUUUCAGUAUGUAAAAACAAUGAACUAGUAUUACUAUUUUGAAUUUGUGUUGCUAGUUUGUUGCCUGCAGCGACAAUGACCACCGUUAAGGUUUCUGUCCAACAGUUUUCCUCUUGAUUAGGUGCUCCACAAGACUCAUUUUCAUGGAGAAAAUCCCAUUCAAGCCCUGAAAGAUUAAAACAUCUUAACCUUUAGUUCUAAAUUUAGUUUCUCUGGGAAGCCAGUUGAGAUCCAGAAGUCUUGAAUGUAACCGAAUGCUUUGGGAGACAGCUUGGGUUGGCUUAAAUUAAAGCUUGUCUCCUGAGGGCUGUAGACACCACAAAUAAAGCUUUCUCUACUGUGUUCUGCUACUGUAUUCAAUGCACUGAGUAGCUCUUAAUGUUCCUAGGGUUUCCUAAAUGGCCUAGAAAUAAAGCUAACAGAAGAGAGCAAUAUAUUUCACUUAACUAACUUUAACAGCAUACCCAAAGUUAUUUCUUUUCAAAAAGCUCAUGAAAGGCCUUGGUCAGAAUUUUGGUGGCAAUAGAAAUACUUGAACAAGAAUCUAUCAGCUGCCUUUGAAGUCUCCAGACUUUAAGUACAUUAAGAAUGAAACACCACUCUGGAUGCUAUAACCUUUAUAGGUCUUUAUUUCUUUUCAACAACAACAACAAACCCAAAAAACACAAAGUCUCCAGUCUCACAACAACUGGAGGAAAACUCAGUAGAAACUCAACAUUUUGUCAAUGAGAAAUACCUGAUGUCAUGUAUUUUGUUUAAUAAAGACUGAGUUGGCUGUACAGUAAGCCAAUUUAAGAAUGUGGUCUGUAACUCACAGUCUUAAUUACAUGGAGAAAAAAGUGAAUGGGUUCAUUAAUGCUGUGAAAAGGAACAAUGACCUACCUGCCAAGUGGCAAGGUGGAAAUAAUUAAUCUGGUCAAUUAAAAAGUAACAGAUAAUUUAAAAUGCAAAGACUUCCAGGUGGUGCACUGGAAUUGCAAAUUCUUACUGCCAAUGCUGGUCUUCUCAAUAAAUUUUCUUCAUCCUUUCCUUUUCUUUUUGUUUUUUCUUUUUGCCAUAGCUCAAAUCUAAUAGAAAAAAAAUCUUUCUGAGCUAUAGAUCACCACUUGUUUCUUUAUGUCUUAUGUUCUAAAAUAUUUAUUUAUUCUAACAUGUACUCCAGAAAUCCUCCGGGGGUUACCAGGUCCUUACUACCAGCUCCAGAAUUCCUUUUCUCUCUUUACUGGGGGUCUGUUAUAUCUUACUUUCCCUUCAAAAUUGUUUGCCUUUUUUUCUGGAGUUUUAAUAAUAUUUUUAAAGUGCUGGAGUCUGAGCCACACUAUCUGGGUUAUCUAAUCCCAUUUAUGAUUCUAUAACCUUGAAGCUUGCCACGGCCUAGUUGUCAGCGCCAGGUUCUAAAUACAUAGGGUAGUGUAUUUGCUCCACGGGACCGGAAAUUAGACAGUUACUUUUCUACAAAUGUUCAUAAUUCCUCUUGACAUUUACAAGCAAGUAAUAGUUCUUAGUCAUAGAGUGAUCUCAAAACAACCCAGGUUGCGCCACGGAUGCAGGAUGCUGGGGGCACUCUGCUCCAUCCGCGCCCCGCCUCUCCGUGCGCUGCUGAGAUGCGGAAAAAGGAACCUGUUGGUAGCUUAAUCCUCUCCAGCUGGUCCAGACUUACUCCCAGGACAAAUAUUACUAUCAUGUUCAUUUUCACCACGGCAAAGCUUUAUAAAAGCUGCAUCCGAGUUUUUUUUUUUAAAAAAAAAUGCACCAGGGAAGGCUGUUUCUAUGGUGAGUGGCUGUAAAUUUAUGGUUGCUAAGGAGGAAAAAAAAAAUCUCAUCUGAGAAAACCAAAUGCUGCCGUGGUGAAGUGCGACUUGAAAGUCUCUGUUGCCGAGGUGUUAGACUUGGCAAGUUAGAAAUAGCUGGGGAGGCGAAAGACGCUUUCACUUAUGUGCUCCAACAAAGUAGUACAUAUUGUCGCCUCCGCGGGAGGCGCGCGGCGGCCAUAUGUGCGUCGCCCAGCGAAAUGGAAUAAACAGCUGUUGCCAGGAAUCCAGUUCCUGGCAAAGAGGCAAACCCAAGUCCGCCUGUUUGCAAAAUAAAAAUCACCAGAGGGAUUCCCCUUCCUGCAGUUCCAGCGAGUAGUUUUAUAAAAGCAUAAGGCAUCGCUGUAUUGUGGUUUAUAAUAAUCCCUUACAUUUGUAAAGCAUUUUACAGUUUACAAAGCUCUUUACAUACAUUAUCUCAUUUGAACCUCAUAACAGCCCUGGAGAGGACAAAGCACAGAUACUGUGAUUCACUUUUCACAGUUGAAAAAAGGAAGGUUCAGAGAAUGAUGGUGAGCCUGUGCCUUGCCCAGCGCUGGCUACGCAGAGACCUCCUAGGGCUAUGGCAGGGGGUCCCAGUGAAGGGAUCAGUUUUUGGGUAGUCGAAGUCCAAGCUGCACUUUUUCCCUUUGUGCAAACAUCAGCUCCCUCUGCCGAAGGUCUUCGCCUGCACUUUUUGAAGCAGGAAGGGAGGCAAGUAGGUUGGAAGGGAGCAAGGGGCAAGGAGAAAAGGUCCUCUGCACUUCUACUGGGUGUGGAAUCUGGUUUGCCCUUGAUGGCAGUCAGAGCCGCC
Molecule: long non-coding RNA, 3551 nt
Organism: Monodon monoceros (narwhal)
Lineage: Eukaryota; Metazoa; Chordata; Mammalia; Artiodactyla; Monodontidae
Source: Ensembl